Molecule: ribosomal RNA, 1463 nt
Filed under: metagenome
Description: bacterial SSU rRNA
Rfam family: Bacterial small subunit ribosomal RNA
Source: RNAcentral
AGAGUUUGAUCCUGGCUCAGGACGAACGCUGGCGGCGCGCCUAACACAUGCAAGUCGAACGGAGCUUAAAGAGCUUGCUUUUUAAGCUUAGUGGCGAACGGGUGAGUAACGCGUGAGUAACCUGCCCUGGAGUGGGGGACAACAGUUGGAAACGACUGCUAAUACCGCAUAAGCCCACGGAUUCGCAUGGAUCUGCGGGAAAAGGAUUUAUUCGCUCUAGGAUGGACUCGCGUCCAAUUAGCUAGUUGGUGAGGUAACGGCCCACCAAGGCGACGAUUGGUAGCCGGACUGAGAGGUUGAACGGCCACAUUGGGACUGAGACACGGCCCAGACUCCUACGGGAGGCAGCAGUGGGGGAUAUUGCACAAUGGGGGAAACCCUGAUGCAGCGACGCCGCGUGGAGGAAGAAGGUUUUCGGAUUGUAAACUCCUGUCGUUAGGGACGAUAAUGACGGUACCUAACAAGAAAGCACCGGCUAACUACGUGCCAGCAGCCGCGGUAAAACGUAGGGUGCAAGCGUUGUCCGGAAUUACUGGGUGUAAAGGGAGCGCAGGCGGACCGGCAAGUUGGAAGUGAAAACUAUGGGCUCAACCCAUAAAUUGCUUUCAAAACUGCUGGCCUUGAGUAGUGCAGAGGUAGGUGGAAUUCCCGGUGUAGCGGUGGAAUGCGUAGAUAUCGGGAGGAACACCAGUGGCGAAGGCGACCUACUGGGCACCAACUGACGCUGAGGCUCGAAAGCAUGGGUAGCAAACAAGAUUAGAUACCCUGGUAGUCCACACCGUAAACGAUGAGCACUAGGUGUCGGGGUCGCAAGACUUCGGUGCCGCAGUUAACGCAUUAAGUGCUCCGCCUGGGGAGUACGCACGCAAGUGUGAAACUCAAAGGAAUUGACGGGGACCCGCACAAGCAGCGGAGCAUGUGGUUUAAUUCGAAGCAACGCGAAGAACCUUACCAGGACUUGACAUCCCUCUGAAACCCCUGAUAACGAAGGGGCCUCUACGGACAGAGGAGACAGGUGGUGCAUGGUUGUCGUCAGCUCGUGUCGUGAGAUGUUGGGUUAAGUCCCGCAACGAGCGCAACCCUUGUCAUUAGUUGCCAUCAUUUAGUUGGGCACUCUAGUGAGACUGCCGGGGACAACUCGGAGGAAGGUGGGGAUGACGUCAAAUCAUCAUGCCCCUUAUGUUCUGGGCUACACACGUGCUACAAUGGCCGGUACAAAGAGCAGCGAGACUGUGAAGUGGAGCAAAUCUCAAAAACCGGUCCCAGUUCGGAUUGUAGGCUGCAACUCGCCUACAUGAAGUCGGAGUUGCUAGUAAUCGCGGAUCAGAAUGCCGCGGUGAAUGCGUUCCCGGGCCUUGUACACACCGCCCGUCACACCAUGGAAGUUGGGGGCGCCCGAAGUUGCCUAAGAAAUAGGGUACCUAAGGCGAAACCAAUGACUGGGGUGAAGUCGUAACAAGGUA